RNAcentral lists this long non-coding RNA (1171 nucleotides) under Anas zonorhyncha (Eastern spot-billed duck). RNAcentral describes it as "lncRNA (ENSAZOG00000008206.1)". Lineage: Eukaryota; Metazoa; Chordata; Aves; Anseriformes; Anatidae. The record is from RNAcentral.
UAAAUGAAAAAUAUCUAUGUAGUUCUUUACUGUCAGCUGCCAUGUAUACAAAAUUAAUUAUUGUGACAGAGUAAUAUGGAGGUCACAAAACUGCAAAGUAAUGGGAAAGAGCAAAUUAGAAAUCAUUAGGUUAGCUUAUUAAGGACAGUAUUCAAACCAUAGUAAGGGUGACUCUAACGUGCUGUAAUUUUGGAUCAAGAAUGGACUAGGUUGAUCUCUUUAAUAGUUUUUAUGGUCUACGAAGUCUAUAACUUAAACCAUUUAAAUUUAUUUGAGCACAUUAUUAUUCAAAAGCAGAGAAGUUAUGCUAAUAAGAUUAUUGUUAUAUUAAAAAUGGUGCUAAUUUGAGGCUUCUAAGAAUACAAAUGUACAGCUCAAAUGUUAUGUUCUCAUUAGUCACACAGUAGAGCAUGACAUAAAGUAGGUACUUCGUCAUUGUUAGAAACAAAAUGGCUUGAAUGAACAAUAGAUUACACAUUUUUCCAUUAGGGGAGGGGACACACUUGUCAGCAAAACAAAGUGGUUCUGAAGAAAACAUUAGUGACUAAAAAUAAGAAUGGAAAGUUGUUGCCUGUAGAAGGGGGGAAAAAUGUGACACAGAUGUAUUGUUAUUUGCUGGAUACACUUUGAAACUAUUUUUAAGUAUUACUUUUAGCAAAGAGUUUCUGUUCUUAGACUGGGUUUUCUUUGGGGAAAUAUGCAACGGAAGAGAAGUGGCAAGACUUCUGAAUGUCAACAACAUCUUACAGGAGAACUAAAUGAACCAAUCACUGCUCUACUACCUCCGUUCUUACCAUGUGAGAUUAAAAGUAGUAGUAAAGAAUUUAAGUUACAGGUAAAAACAUAAUUUAUAUCUUAUGUUUUAGUUAAUUACAUGUUAUCAGAAAUGUCUGGUUUACUUAUUUGAGCAAUGGUAAUAUUUGUAAUAGUUAAGCAAAUUUAUCAUUGUGUGAGUAUAGAAGUUCUUCUGUUGUCCAGUAUUCCUGCCAUGUUUUGCACAGUGUCUGAGCAUAUCUUCAUAUACCACCCUUGUCUAUAUUCUUGCCCCAUCAGUUGGUAGUUGGUCUUUGUGCAGAAAAUCUUGGGUUGAUGUUUUGGAAAAUACUUCUGCCAGGUAGCUCCCUGCUGUUAAGUUAGCCAAGUGGUUUUCAGAGGCUUGCUUUAUAACCAG